This 253-nucleotide ribosomal RNA is filed under the name uncultured bacterium. RNAcentral's name for it is "partial 16S ribosomal RNA". It matches the Rfam family "Bacterial small subunit ribosomal RNA", at positions 524 to 776 of the family's 1533-position model. The record is from RNAcentral.
UACGUAGGUGGCAAGCGUUGUCCGGAAUUAUUGGGCGUAAAGCGCGCGCAGGCGGUCCUUUAAGUCUGAUGUGAAAGCCCACGGCUCAACUGUGGAGGGUCAUUGGAAACUGGGGGACUUGAGUGCAGAAGAGGAAAGCGGAAUUCCACGUGUAGCGGUGAAAUGCGUAGAGAUGUGGAGGAACACCAGUGGCGAAGGCGGCCCGCUGGGCAGUGGCUGACGCUGAAGCGCGACAGCGUGGGGAGCAAACAGG